RNAcentral lists this ribosomal RNA (252 nucleotides) under uncultured bacterium. RNAcentral's name for it is "partial 16S ribosomal RNA". It matches the Rfam family "Bacterial small subunit ribosomal RNA", at positions 524 to 776 of the family's 1533-position model. The record is from RNAcentral.
UACGGAGGAUGCGAGCGUUAUCCGGAAUUAUUGGGUUUAAAGGGUGCGUAGGCGGUAUGUGAAGUCGGUGGUGAAAUCCCGGAGCUCGACUCCGGCGAGCCAUCGAAACUGACAUGCUUGAGAGGGAGAGAGGUCAGCGGAAUGCGCAGUGUAGCGGUGAAAUGCUUAGAUAUCGCGCAGAACUCCGAUUGCGAAGGCAGCCUACCGGCUCCAGACUGACGCUGAGGCACGAAAGCGUGGGUAUCGAACAGG